UAAGCCUGUGAAGGUGGCCUGUGAGGGUUGCUGGAGGUAUCAGAAGUGCGAAUGCUGACAUAAGUAACGAUAAAGCGGGUGAAAAGCCCGCUCGCCGGAAGACCAAGGGUUCCUGUCCAACGUUAAUCGGGGCAGGGUGAGUCGACCCCUAAGGCGAGGCCGAAAGGCGUAGUCGAUGGGAAACGGGUUAAUAUUCCCGUACUUGGUGUUACUGCGAAGGGGGGACGGAGAAGGCUAUGUUGGCCGGGCGACGGUUGUCCCGGUUUAAGCGUGUAGGUGUGUGUUCCAGGUAAAUCCGGUUCACUUUAACACUGAGGCGUGACGACGAGGCACUACGGUGCUGAAGCAACAAAUGCCCUGCUUCCAGGAAAAGCCUCUAAGCAUCAGGUAACAUCAAAUCGUACCCCAAACCGACACAGGUGGUCAGGUAGAGAAUACCAAGGCGCUUGAGAGAACUCGGGUGAAGGAACUAGGCAAAAUGGUGCCGUAACUUCGGGAGAAGGCACGCUGACACGUAGGUGAAGUGAUUUACUCAUGGAGCUGAAGUCAGUCGAAGAUACCAGCUGGCUGCAACUGUUUAUUAAAAACACAGCACUGUGCAAACACGAAAGUGGACGUAUACGGUGUGACGCCUGCCCGGUGCCGGAAGGUUAAUUGAUGGGGUCAGCGCAAGCGAAGCUCCUGAUCGAAGCCCCGGUAAACGGCGGCCGUAACUAUAACGGUCCUAAGGUAGCGAAAUUCCUUGUCGGGUAAGUUCCGACCUGCACGAAUGGCGUAAUGAUGGCCAGGCUGUCUCCACCCGAGACUCAGUGAAAUUGAACUCGCUGUGAAGAUGCAGUGUACCCGCGGCAAGACGGAAAGACCCCGUGAACCUUUACUAUAGCUUGACACUGAACAUUGAGCCUUGAUGUGUAGGAUAGGUGGGAGGCUUUGAAGUGUGG
Molecule: ribosomal RNA, 941 nt
Filed under: Salmonella enterica subsp. enterica serovar Muenchen
Lineage: Bacteria; Pseudomonadati; Pseudomonadota; Gammaproteobacteria; Enterobacterales; Enterobacteriaceae
Description: partial 23S ribosomal RNA
Rfam family: Bacterial large subunit ribosomal RNA
Source: RNAcentral